Molecule: ribosomal RNA, 466 nt
Filed under: uncultured Syntrophobacteraceae bacterium
Lineage: Bacteria; Pseudomonadati; Thermodesulfobacteriota; Syntrophobacteria; Syntrophobacterales; Syntrophobacteraceae
Description: partial 16S ribosomal RNA
Source: RNAcentral
GACUACAGGGGUAUCUAAUCCUGUUUGCUCCCCACGCUUUCGCGUCUCAGCGUCAGUUACCGUCCAGAUGGGCGCCUUCGCCACUGAUAUUCCUCCCGAUCUCUACGAAUUUCACCUCUACACCGGGAAUUCCCCCAUCCUCUCCAGUACUCAAGUCCCACAGUUUCCAAUGCACUUCCCGGGUUAAGCCCGGGGCUUUCACAUCAGACUUGCAGGACCGCCUACACGCGCUUUACGCCCAGUAAUUCCGAAUAACGCUUGCACCCUCCGUAUUACCGCGGCUGCUGGCACGGAGUUAGCCGGUGCUUCCUCUGGUGGUACCGUCACUCCCGAAACCUGUUCAAUUCCGGGACAUUCUUCCCACCUGACAGGGCUUUACGACCCGAAGGCCUUCAUCACCCACGCGGCGUUGCUGCGUCAGGAUUGCCCCCAUUGCGCAAAAUUCCUCACUGCAGCCGCCCGUAGG